UCCUAAAAACCUGCAAUUACUGAAAAAAUCAUUUUAAAACCCUGUGUUACUUAAGUCAUUAUGGAAUAUAAGAUGGUAGAGUAUGAAUACCUUAUUCAUGAUAUCAUUUUUGCUUGGAGAAUUUACUCAAAAAUUCUAGCUACCAUCCACAAUGUUUUAUAUGCCUGAUAAACCUAAAAAUAUAAUUAUAAAAGCUAUCUAUUAUGUAUUGAGUUUGUUCGAAAUGAGUUAGACCCUUGUUGAGAGAUUUAUCAUGCUCCUG
This 262-nucleotide long non-coding RNA is filed under the name Sorghum bicolor (sorghum). RNAcentral's name for it is "long non-coding RNA (SBIC_LNC008393)". Lineage: Eukaryota; Viridiplantae; Streptophyta; Magnoliopsida; Poales; Poaceae. The record is from RNAcentral.